This 398-nucleotide ribosomal RNA is filed under the name uncultured bacterium. RNAcentral describes it as "partial 16S ribosomal RNA". It matches the Rfam family "Bacterial small subunit ribosomal RNA", at positions 523 to 918 of the family's 1533-position model. The record is from RNAcentral.
AUACGUAGGGUGCGAGCGUUGUCCGGAAUUACUGGGCGUAAAGAGCUCGUAGGUGGUUUGUCGCGUCGUCUGUGAAAUUCCGGGGCUUAACUCCGGGCGUGCAGGCGAUACGGGCAUAACUUGAGUACUGUAGGGGAGACUGGAAUUCCUGGUGUAGCGGUGAAAUGCGCAGAUAUCAGGAGGAACACCGGUGGCGAAGGGGGGUCUCUGGGAAGUAACUGACGCUGAGGAGCGAAAGCAUGGGUAGCGAACAGGAUUAGAUACCCUGGUAGUCCAUGCCGUAAACGGUGGGCGCUAGGUGUAGGGGUCUUCCACGACUUCUGUGCCGUAGCUAACGCAUUAAGCGCCCCGCCUGGGGAGUACGGCCGCAAGGCUAAAACUCAAAGGAAUUGACGGGG